RNAcentral lists this long non-coding RNA (794 nucleotides) under Sus scrofa (pig). Its description in RNAcentral is "lncRNA (ENSSSCG00035032618.1)". Lineage: Eukaryota; Metazoa; Chordata; Mammalia; Artiodactyla; Suidae. The record is from RNAcentral.
CCUGGAGGUGGCGGAGUGACUCAACGCCGGUGCCCUCCCUGCCCCCAUGCCCGAGUGCUCAGCCCUCCCUUGCCGGGGCUCACCUAAUCCCCGCAGUGGGAGUCGGGGGGCAUCCGCGCAGGCCCAGGGCUAGGGUUGCAGCACGGUCACUUCACACUCGGCAGGCAGCAUGUGCAGCUGAGGCCCCUCUCCGGGCUGCAGACUCCCUCGAGGCGGGCAGCGAGGUCAGCCUGGCAGCCGCUGCCUCUCUCCAGCCCAGAUCUGGCCUCAGGCAGCCGGUUCCCGGACCCGAGGAAGUGAUGGCGGAACAGGAAGCCAGUGGGUUGCAGGUCCUGCUGCAAACACUCCAGAGUCUGAACCACCUUUAAGCAGUCGCUCUUGGCCCUCAAUACCAAAAUUAGACAACUGACCUCUUAGCACGAGGGUCUUCUCUUCACCUCAGUCUGACAUCACUGAAUGCCACAGGGUCAUAAACUUGGAAGGAACCUGAGAAAUCAUCUCUUCUUAUUCACUUAGUUGAAGCAUGAGGAAAACAAGUAAAGGCCACAGAAGGUAACUGCUUUAUCUAAAGUCAAUGGAAAAAUUGCAUUAGAACUAGGUUUACCGCCUCCAAGUCUGAUCUUUUGUCUGUUCUCUACCAUGUCAUUUGUAAGAAAUCUAUAAAAGAAGCUUGGAAAAAUCUCUGUAAUAUUUUGCAGUGUAAAUGGUUGGUUCAGAUCCUUGUUUGUUUAUUUGUUUUUUAACUGCCAUGCAUUCCAAAUUCAGUUUUUUAGAAAUGAAAUUUUCAGUGCUUU